UACAGAGGUCCCGAGCGUUGUUCGGAUUCAUUGGGCGUAAAGGGUGCGUAGGUGGCGCUGUAAGUGGGGUGUGAAAUCCCGGGGCUUAACUCCGGAACUGCAUUCCAUACUGCGGUGCUUGAGGACUGGAGAGGAGACUGGAAUUUACGGUGUAGCAGUGAAAUGCGUAGAGAUCUGGAGGAACACCGAUGGCGAAGGCAGCCCCCUGGGUUAACACUGACGCUCAUGCACGAAAGCGUGGGGAGCAAACAGG
This 253-nucleotide ribosomal RNA is filed under the name uncultured bacterium. RNAcentral describes it as "partial 16S ribosomal RNA". It matches the Rfam family "Bacterial small subunit ribosomal RNA", at positions 524 to 776 of the family's 1533-position model. The record is from RNAcentral.